UAGAUUGAAGCUAGCUGAUUAGGGUAUUUAGCUGUUAACUAAAUUUUUGUAGGUUUGAAUUCCACCAAUCUAG
Non-coding RNA from Papio anubis (olive baboon), 73 nucleotides. NCBI's taxonomy places the organism in Eukaryota, Metazoa, Chordata, Mammalia, Primates, Cercopithecidae. The record is from Rfam.